AUUCCAGCUCCAAUAGCAUAUAUUUAAGUUGUUGCAGUUAAAAAGCUCGUAGUUGGAUCUCGGGUCGUAAGGGUCGGUCCACCUACUCGGUGUGCACCUACCCUUCCGUCCCUUUUUUCGGCGGUGUGCUCCUGGCCUUAAUUGGCUGGGUCGCGGUUCCGGCAUUGUUACUUUGAAAAAAUUAGAGUGCUCAAAGCAAAAUUAUGCUCUAAAUACAUUAGCAUGGAAUAACGUGAUAUGAGUCUGGUCCUAUUGUGUUGGCCUUCGGGACUGGAGUAAUGAUUAAUAGGGACUGUCGGGGGAAUUCGUAUUUCAGUGUCAGAGGUGAAAUUCUUGGAUUUAUGAAAGACGAACCACUGGGAAAGCAUUUGCUGAGGAUUUUUUCAUUA
Molecule: ribosomal RNA, 389 nt
Filed under: Embryophyta sp.
Lineage: Eukaryota; Viridiplantae; Streptophyta
Description: partial small subunit ribosomal RNA
Rfam family: Eukaryotic small subunit ribosomal RNA
Source: RNAcentral